This 310-nucleotide ribosomal RNA is filed under the name uncultured bacterium. RNAcentral's name for it is "bacterial SSU rRNA". It matches the Rfam family "Bacterial small subunit ribosomal RNA", at positions 626 to 932 of the family's 1533-position model. The record is from RNAcentral.
UUGGAAACUGAUUUACUUGAGUGCGAUAGAGGCAAGUGGAACUCCAUGGUGUAGCGGUGAAAAUGCGUAAAUAUGUGGAAGAACACCAGUGGCGAAAGCGGCUUGCUAGAUCGUAACUGACGUUGAGGCUCGAAAGUAUGGGUAGCAAACGGGAUUAGAUACCCCGGUAGUCCAUACCGUAAACGAUGGGUGCUAGUUGUUAAGAGGUUUCCGCCUCCUAGUGACGUAGCAAACGCAUUAAGCACCCCGCCUGAGGAGUACGGCCGCAAGGCUAAAACUUAAAGGAAUUGACGGGGACCCGCACAAGCGG